Molecule: ribosomal RNA, 447 nt
Filed under: uncultured bacterium
Lineage: Bacteria
Description: bacterial SSU rRNA
Rfam family: Bacterial small subunit ribosomal RNA
Source: RNAcentral
UCCCAGACUCCUACGGGAGGCAGCAGUGGGGGAUAUUGCACAAUGGGGGGAACCCUGAUGCAGCGACGCCGCGUGGGUGAAGGAGUAUUUCGGUAUGUAAAGCCCUAUCGGCAGGGAAGAAGCAAGACGGUACCUGACUAAGAAGCCCCGGCUAACUACGUGCCAGCAGCCGCGGUAAUACGUAGGGGGCAAGCGUUAUCCGGAUUUACUGGGUGUAAAGGGGGCGCAGACGGCGAUGCAAGCCAGGAGUGAAAGCCCGGGGCCCAACCCCGGGACUGCUCUUGGAACUGCGUGGCUGGAGUGCAGGAGGGGCAGGCGGAAUUCCUGGUGUAGCGGUGAAAUGCGUAGAUAUCAGGAGGAACACCGGUGGCGAAGGCGGCCUGCUGGACUGCAACUGACGUUGAGGCCCGAAAGCGUGGGGAGCAAACAGGAUUAGAUACCCCAGUA